UACGUAGGGGGCAAGCGUUAUUCGGAUUCACUGGGCGUAAAGGGUGCGCAGGCGGCCGAGUGUGUGAGGCGUGAAAGCCCGGGGCUUAACCCCGGAAUUGCACCUCAAACUACACGGCUAGAGCAUUGGAGAGGGUAGCAGAAUUCAUGGUGUAGCAGUGAAAUGCGUAGAUAUCAUGAGGAAUACCAGAGGCGAAGGCGGCUACCUGGACAAUUGCUGACGCUCAGGCACGAAAGCGUGGGGAGCAAAAGGG
This 253-nucleotide ribosomal RNA is filed under the name uncultured bacterium. Its description in RNAcentral is "partial 16S ribosomal RNA". It matches the Rfam family "Bacterial small subunit ribosomal RNA", at positions 524 to 776 of the family's 1533-position model. The record is from RNAcentral.